RNAcentral lists this ribosomal RNA (446 nucleotides) under uncultured bacterium. RNAcentral describes it as "bacterial SSU rRNA". It matches the Rfam family "Bacterial small subunit ribosomal RNA", at positions 61 to 518 of the family's 1533-position model. The record is from RNAcentral.
GUCGAACGAGAAGUACCUCGGGUAAUGGAAAGUGGCGGACGGGUGAGUAAUGUGUAGAGAAUCUGCCCUAGAGUGGGGGACAACAGUUGGAAACGACUGCUAAUACCGCAUAUGCGCGUAGCUGAGAUGCUAUUCGUGAAAACUCCGGUGCUCUGGGAUGAGUCUGCAUCUGAUUAGCUAGGUUGGGGGUGUAAUGGACCACCAAGGCGACGAUCAGUAGCUGGUUUGAGAGGAUGAUCAGCCACAAGUGGGACUGGAGACGACCGGCCCAUACUCCGUACGGGAGGCAGCAGGUAGGGUAAUUUGCGACAAGUACGGGGGAAACCUGACGCAACGCAACGCCGCGUGAUUGAAUAAGCCCUUCGGGGUGUAAAGAUCUGUCAGUGGGGACGAAACUUGACGGUACCCACAGAGGAAGCAUCGGCUAACUCCGUGCCAGCAGCGGC